CUAACAAAAUAUGUGACUUUCUUACCAGGACAGAAAUACCUUAAGGACAAAUUUUCAGUCAUGAUGACAGCUAAAUAAGCAGUUAAUGUGUAGUAUAUAUAUUUGAGAAUAUAUAUGAACUUCAGUUACUUAAAGUUAAAACCAAAACUAGCCCUUUUCUUUCUGGUAUUUUUGGAGAUGCAAAAGUAAUUAUUUCAAUAGAGUCAAAAGCUUCUGUGUUGUUUUUCUGCCAGUUCUUCCCUGGAAAGUUAAUUUAAUUAUUUGACUUACCUGCCCAGUAAUUUCAGGAGGCCCAUAGUAAUUUAACUGCAUGGACUGUAAAAUGUCACACAAACUAAUAAUAUACUGAAAUAUUAACUGAAUGUUACAAAAAUCAAUACGAGUCAAAGGUAGAGGAAGAGAAGAAACAAGUGAAAAUUAAACAAUGGAUAUACUAUAUGGAUCUGGAGGAUGAUGGAUAGGCUGAGGGUUAAGAUUAAAAAAUGAAAGUUCUAGAAGAUAUUGAAAAUGAAAGAAAACCAACUGACAAAUAAAUUAUUGAACCUAAACCUGCAAAGACAUGCAUCAGGGGAACUAAUUACACUGUUCAAUAUUUAAUUCAUUAAGCCUUUUUUUUUUUUUCCCCUGGGCAGGCCAACUUCUGAUUUGAUCAACAUGGCCGGAUGGAGAUGUUAGAAGAUUUAAAAUAUUUCUCACUCCCACUUUGUUGCCUGCCAGUGCCACAGAAUGGACAGCAGGGGAAGGACCUUUUCCUUCCUCCACAGUGAUGAUAAAGAACAGGAAAAGAGAUGGACCCCAAGGUGUUUUAGAGAUUUCUUUGUAUGCUGUGAUAAUAACAGUACAUGGAUCACUGCACUCAUGCUGAAAUAUAGACUCCUCUAGGUUGGAAGGCAGAGACAUCUCCCACUGCCAGGAGCACUACACAGCAUAUUAAGGCAGAAAUGAAGGCUACUUUAUCCUCUUGUGCCCACAGGUGAAUGCAGGUAGGAUGGACUUUAUUUCCUUGUGAUAUAAUUUAGCCAGGAAACGAGAACCAACAGUGUCAG
RNAcentral lists this long non-coding RNA (1046 nucleotides) under Parus major (Great Tit). RNAcentral's name for it is "lncRNA (ENSPMJG00000012459.1)". The record is from RNAcentral. Lineage: Eukaryota; Metazoa; Chordata; Aves; Passeriformes; Paridae.